This is a transfer RNA of Ovis aries (sheep), 73 nucleotides long. It matches the Rfam family "tRNA". Rfam says of the family: Transfer RNA (tRNA) molecules are approximately 80 nucleotides in length. NCBI's taxonomy places the organism in Eukaryota, Metazoa, Chordata, Mammalia, Artiodactyla, Bovidae. The record is from Rfam.
UCCUUGGUGGCUCAGAUGGUUAAAGAAUUUGCCUGCAAUGCAGGAGACCCAGGUUCAAUUCCUGGGUUGGGAA